GUCGAGCGGACAGAUGGGAGCUUGCUCCCUGAUGUUAGCGGCGGACGGGUGAGUAACACGUGGGUAACCUGCCUGUAAGACUGGGAUAACUCCGGGAAACCGGGGCUAAUACCGGAUGGUUGUUUGAACCGCAUGGUUCAAACAUAAAAGGUGGCUUCGGCUACCACUUACAGAUGGACCCGCGGCGCAUUAGCUAGUUGGUGAGGUAACGGCUCACCAAGGCAACGAUGCGUAGCCGACCUGAGAGGGUGAUCGGCCACACUGGGACUGAGACACGGCCCAGACUCCUACGGGAGGCAGCAGUAGGGAAUCUUCCGCAAUGGACGAAAGUCUGACGGAGCAACGCCGCGUGAGUGAUGAAGGUUUUCGGAUCGUAAAGCUCUGUUGUUAGGGAAGAACAAGUACCGUUCGAAUAGGGCGGUACCUUGACGGUACCUAACCAGAAAGCCACGGCUAACUACGUGCCAGCAGCCGCGGUAAUACGUAGGUGGCAAGCGUUGUCCGGAAUUAUUGGGCGUAAAGGGCUCGCAGGCGGUUUCUUAAGUCUGAUGUGAAAGCCCCCGGCUCAACCGGGGAGGGUCAUUGGAAACUGGGGAACUUGAGUGCAGAAGAGGAGAGUGGAAUUCCACGUGUAGCGGUGAAAUGCGUAGAGAUGUGGAGGAACACCAGUGGCGAAGGCGACUCUCUGGUCUGUAACUGACGCUGAGGAGCGAAAGCGUGGGGAGCGAACAGGAUUAGAUACCCUGGUAGUCCACGCCGUAAACGAUGAGUGCUAAGUGUUAGGGGGUUUCCGCCCCUUAUU
Molecule: ribosomal RNA, 802 nt
Filed under: Bacillus subtilis
Lineage: Bacteria; Bacillati; Bacillota; Bacilli; Caryophanales; Bacillaceae
Description: bacterial SSU rRNA
Rfam family: Bacterial small subunit ribosomal RNA
Source: RNAcentral